RNAcentral lists this ribosomal RNA (243 nucleotides) under Proteus sp. (in: enterobacteria). RNAcentral describes it as "Proteus sp. partial 16S ribosomal RNA". It matches the Rfam family "Bacterial small subunit ribosomal RNA", at positions 821 to 1063 of the family's 1533-position model. The record is from RNAcentral. Lineage: Bacteria; Pseudomonadati; Pseudomonadota; Gammaproteobacteria; Enterobacterales; Morganellaceae.
AGGUUGUGGUCUUGAACCGUGGCUUCUGGAGCUAACGCGUUAAAUCGACCGCCUGGGGAGUACGGCCGCAAGGUUAAAACUCAAAUGAAUUGACGGGGGCCCGCACAAGCGGUGGAGCAUGUGGUUUAAUUCGAUGCAACGCGAAGAACCUUACCUACUCUUGACAUCCAGCGAAUCCUUUAGAGAUAGAGGAGUGCCUUCGGGAGCGCUGAGACAGGUGCUGCAUGGCUGUCGUCAGCUCGU